This 652-nucleotide ribosomal RNA is filed under the name uncultured bacterium. RNAcentral describes it as "bacterial SSU rRNA". It matches the Rfam family "Bacterial small subunit ribosomal RNA", at positions 59 to 698 of the family's 1533-position model. The record is from RNAcentral.
AAGUCGAGCGAGAACCAGGGCUUCGGCCCUGGGGACAGCGGCGAACGGGUGAGUAACACGUGGGUAAUCUGCCCUCGGCACCGGAAUAGCCCGGGGAAACCCGGAUUAAUGCCGGAUGGCCCCUUCACCUCGCGAGGUGAAGGGAAAAGGUAGCUUCGGCCUCCGGCCGAGGAUGAGCCCGCGGCGGAUUAGCUUGUUGGCGGGGUAACGGCCCACCAAGGCGACGAUCCGUAGCUGGUCUGAGAGGACGAUCAGCCACACUGGGACUGAGACACGGCCCAGACUCCUACGGGAGGCAGCAGUGGGGAAUCUUGCGCAAUGGGCGAAAGCCUGACGCAGCGACGCCGCGUGAGGGAAGACGGCCUUCGGGUUGUAAACCUCUUUCAGGAGGGACGAAGCUACUCGGGUUAAUAGCCCAGAGGGUGACGGUACCUCCAGAAGAAGCCCCGGCUAACUACGUGCCAGCAGCCGCGGUAAUACGUAGGGGGCAAGCGUUGUCCGGAUUUACUGGGCGUAAAGCGCGUGUAGGCGGCUACACAGGUCCGUUGUGAAAACUGAAGGCUUAACCUUCAGACGUCGACGGAAACCGUGUGGCUAGAGUCCGGAAGAGGAGAGUGGAAUUCCUGGUGUAGCGGUGAAAUGCGCAGAUAUC